RNAcentral lists this ribosomal RNA (773 nucleotides) under uncultured bacterium. Its description in RNAcentral is "bacterial SSU rRNA". It matches the Rfam family "Bacterial small subunit ribosomal RNA", at positions 8 to 796 of the family's 1533-position model. The record is from RNAcentral.
AGAGUUUGAUCCUGGCUCAGGACGAACGCUGGCGGCGUGCUUAACACAUGCAAGUCAAGCGGUAAGGCCUUUCGGGGGUACACGAGCGGCGAACGGGUGAGUAACACGUGGGUGACCUGCCCUCAGCUCUGGGAUAAGCCUGGGAAACUGGGUCUAAUACCGGAUAUGACCUUCUGUCGCAUGGCAGUGGGUGGAAAGUUUUUCGGCUGGGGAUGGGCCCGCGGCCUAUCAGCUUGUUGGUGGGGUGAUGGCCUACCAAGGCGACGACGGGUAGCCGGCCUGAGAGGGCGACCGGCCACACUGGGACUGAGACACGGCCCAGACUCCUACGGGAGGCAGCAGUGGGGAAUAUUGCGCAAUGGGCGAAAGCCUGACGCAGCGACGCCGCGUGGGGGAUGACGGCCUUCGGGUUGUAAACCUCUUUCGACCGGGACGAAGCGUAAGUGACGGUACCGGUAGAAGAAGCACCGGCCAACUACGUGCCAGCAGCCGCGGUAAUACGUAGGGUGCGAGCGUUGUCCGGAAUUAUUGGGCGUAAAGAGCUCGUAGGCGGUGUGUCGCGUCGGUCGUGAAAACUUGGGGGCUCAACCCUGAGCUUGCGGUCGAUACGGGCAUCACUUGAGUUCGGCAGGGGAGACUGGAAUUCCUGGUGUAGCGGUGAAAUGCGCAGAUAUCAGGAGGAACACCGGUGGCGAAGGCGGNNCNNNNGGCCGAUACUGACGCUGAGGAGCGAAAGCGUGGGGAGCGAACAGGAUUAGAUACCCCAGUAGUCC